Molecule: transfer RNA, 69 nt
Filed under: Polyphylla gracilicornis
Lineage: Eukaryota; Metazoa; Arthropoda; Insecta; Coleoptera; Scarabaeidae
Description: tRNA-Gln
Source: RNAcentral
UACGAUUUAGUAUGAGAAGUACUUAAAUUUUUGAUAUUUAAAGGGGUAGUUUAAUUCUAUCAGUUGUAA